Molecule: ribosomal RNA, 382 nt
Filed under: uncultured bacterium
Lineage: Bacteria
Description: bacterial SSU rRNA
Rfam family: Bacterial small subunit ribosomal RNA
Source: RNAcentral
UAACACAUGCAAGUCGAACGAGACCUUCGGGUCUAGUGGCGCACGGGUGCGUAACGCGUGGGAACCUGCCCUCAGGUUCGGAAUAACGUCGGGAAACUGACGCUAAUACCGGAUAAUGUCUUCGGACCAAAGAUUUAUUGCCUGGGGAUGGGCCCGCGUUGGAUUAGCUAGUUGGUGGGGUAAAGGCUCACCAAGGCGACGAUCCAUAGCUGGUCUUAGAGGAUGAUCAGCCACACUGGGACUGAGACACGGCCCAGACUCCUACGGGAGGCAGCAGUGGGGAAUAUUGGACAAUGGGCGAAAGCCUGAUCCAGCAAUGCCGCGUGAGUGAUGAAGGCCUUAGGGUUGUAAAGCUCUUUUACCAGGGAUGAUAAUGACAGUA